AUAGGGGAGCCGGAGGGAAACCGAGUCUUAAUUGGGCGUUAAGUUGCAGGGUAUAGACCCGAAACCCGGUGAUCUAGCCAUGGGCAGGUUGAAGGUUGGGUAACACUAACUGGAGGACCGAACCGACUAAUGUUGAAAAAUUAGCGGAUGACCUGUGGCUGGGGGUGAAAGGCCAAUCAAACCGGGAGAUAGCUGGUUCUCCCCGAAAGCUAUUUAGGUAGCGCCUCGUGAAUUCAUCUCCGGGGGUAGAGCACUGUUUCGGCUAGGGGGCCAUCCCGGCUUACCAACCCGAUGCAAACUGCGAAUACCGGAGAAUGUUAUCACGGGAGACACACGGCGGGUGCUAACGUCCGUCGUGAAGAGGGAAACAACCCAGACCGCCAGCUAAGGUCCCAAAGUCAUGGUUAAGUGGGAAACGAUGUGGGAAGGCCCAGACAGCCAGGAUGUUGGCUUAGAAGCAGCCAUCAUUUAAAGAAAGCGUAAUAGCUCACUGGUCGAGUCGGCCUGCGCGGAAGAUGUAACGGGGCUAAACCAUGCACCGAAGCUGCGGCAGCGAACGUAUCACCCAAGACAACUUUACGGAGUUGACGAUUGACGGAGCGAAGCGACGUCAAAGCGUUCAUUAAAGUCGAGUUGGCUUAGGGAUACGUUCGUUGGGUAGGGGAGCGUUCUGUAAGCCUGUGAAGGUGUGUCGUGAGGCAUGCUGGAGGUAUCAGAAGUGCGAAUGCUGACAUAAGUAACGAUAAAGCGGGUGAAAAGCCCGCUCGCCGGAAGACCAAGGGUUCCUGUCCAACGUUAAUCGGGGCAGGGUGAGUCGACCCCUAAGGCGAGGCCGAAAGGCGUAGUCGAUGGGAAACGGGUUAAUAUUCCCGUACUUGGUGUUACUGCGAAGGGGGGACGGAGAAGGCUAUGUUGGCCGGGCGACGGUUGUCCCGGUUUAAGCGUGUAGGUGUGUGUUCCAGGUAAAUCCGGUUCACUUUAACAC
RNAcentral lists this ribosomal RNA (985 nucleotides) under Salmonella enterica subsp. enterica serovar Heidelberg. RNAcentral describes it as "partial 23S ribosomal RNA". It matches the Rfam family "Bacterial large subunit ribosomal RNA", at positions 657 to 1556 of the family's 2925-position model. The record is from RNAcentral. Lineage: Bacteria; Pseudomonadati; Pseudomonadota; Gammaproteobacteria; Enterobacterales; Enterobacteriaceae.